RNAcentral lists this non-coding RNA (30 nucleotides) under Mus musculus (house mouse). Lineage: Eukaryota; Metazoa; Chordata; Mammalia; Rodentia; Muridae. The record is from RNAcentral.
UAAAACGAAGGUGUGGCUCUGCUCUCUGGU